CGCUUUGUCCUGUUCGAUCGUACUCUUGUGAAAUGGGUCAGGCCUUGAUCGGAGCAGCCCUAAGCAGGAAGUAUGGUGCUUACAGGGUUGCAAAGCCGA
Molecule: signal recognition particle RNA, 99 nt
Filed under: Nanobdellota archaeon
Lineage: Archaea; Nanobdellati; Nanobdellota
Description: signal recognition particle sRNA small type
Rfam family: Bacterial small signal recognition particle RNA
About the family: The signal recognition particle (SRP) is a universally conserved ribonucleoprotein involved in the co-translational targeting of proteins to membranes. Archaeal SRP consists of a 7S RNA and homologues of the eukaryotic SRP19 and SRP54 proteins.
Source: RNAcentral